GGAGCUGGUGGUGAAAGACCGAGGUGGUGCUGAAUCUCACGGAGAAUGAGAGUCUGCUGGUCCUGCUGAAGCUAGAAGUGGUCCAUCCGCUCCAUAAUGGCCGUCUGAGUAGUGGUCAAAGUCUGGAAAGAAGCGAGCAAGGCACGAUACUCUGGACCAGGGAUAGUAAUGGGCGGCUCUGAUGUAGGAGGAACAAUAGGUGGGGCAUCAGAUGAUGCUACCUCCGGUACUGGCUGUGGAGGGUCUGAAGUGGAUGGAGCAAGA
Molecule: long non-coding RNA, 264 nt
Filed under: Vitis vinifera (wine grape)
Lineage: Eukaryota; Viridiplantae; Streptophyta; Magnoliopsida; Vitales; Vitaceae
Description: long non-coding RNA (VVIN_LNC001448)
Source: RNAcentral